This 493-nucleotide ribosomal RNA is filed under the name uncultured bacterium. RNAcentral describes it as "partial 16S ribosomal RNA". It matches the Rfam family "Bacterial small subunit ribosomal RNA", at positions 30 to 523 of the family's 1533-position model. The record is from RNAcentral.
AUUGAACGCUGGCGGCAUGCUUUACACAUGCAAGUCGAACGGUAACAGGUUAAGCUGACGAGUGGCGAACGGGUGAGUAAUGCAUCGGAACGUGCCCGGUCGUGGGGGCUAACGCAGCGAAAGCUGCGCUAAUACCGCAUACGAUCUGAGGAUGAAAGCGGGGGACCGUAAGGCCUCGCGCGAUCGGAGCGGCCGAUGUCAGAUUAGGUAGUUGGUGGGGUAAAGGCCUACCAAGCCGACGAUCUGUAGCUGGUCUGAGAGGACGACCAGCCAAACUGGGACGGAGACACGGCCCAGACUCCUACGGGAGGCAGCAGUGGGGAAUUUUGGACAAUGGGCGCAAGCCUGAUCCAGCAAUGCCGCGUGCAGGAAGAAGGCCUUCGGGUUGUAAACUGCUUUUGUACGGAGUGAAAAGGCUCUCUCUAAUACAGGGGGUUCAUGACGGUACCGUAAGAAUAAGCACCGGCUAACUACGUGCCAGCCGCCGCCGUAA